AGUUUUGCCGAAGUACGAGGUGACGGUGACGCCGUCGUCGCGCACAGUCAUGCGCGGUGCGAAGAGCGUCUCUGGUAUUGUCUGUGCAAAGUACACGUAUGGCAAGCCUGUAGAGGGCAAUGCUGUGCUGCAAGUGUGCGCUCGACCCCAGCCGAGACCGUCCUGGUCGCGAGAACCUGAACUGCCUCCAUUCUGUAAAGACACCGAGCUAACUGUAAUAGAUGGCUG
This is a long non-coding RNA of Priapulus caudatus, 228 nucleotides long. RefSeq lists it as uncharacterized. The record is from RefSeq and is a predicted model, not a curated record. The transcript has 3 exons. Lineage: Eukaryota; Metazoa; Priapulida; Priapulimorpha; Priapulimorphida; Priapulidae.